GAUGAACGCUGGCGGCGUGCUUAACACAUGCAAGUCGAACGAAGCACCUCUCCCGAAGAUUGACACAGCUUGCUGUAGAUUGAUUCAUUUGAGGUGACUGAGUGGCGGACGGGUGAGUAACGCGUGGGUAACCUGCCUCAUAGAGGGGGACAACAGUUGGAAACGACUGCUAAUACCGCAUAGUAAGAAGAUUCGCAUGUUCUUCUUGAAAGAUUUAUCGCUAUGAGAUGGACCCGCGUCUGAUUAGCUAGUUGGUAAGGUAACGGCUUACCAAGGCGACGAUCAGUAGCCGGCUUGAGAGAGUGAACGGCCACAUUGGGACUGAGACACGGCCCAAAACUUCCUACGGGGAGGCAGCAGUGGGGAAUAUUGCACAAUGGGGGAAACCCUGAUGCAGCGACGCCGUCGUGAGUGAAGAAGUAUUUCGGUAUGUAAAGCUCUAUCAGCAGGGAAGAUAAUGACGGUAACCUGACUAAGAAGCCCCGG
RNAcentral lists this ribosomal RNA (486 nucleotides) under uncultured bacterium. RNAcentral describes it as "bacterial SSU rRNA". It matches the Rfam family "Bacterial small subunit ribosomal RNA", at positions 28 to 496 of the family's 1533-position model. The record is from RNAcentral.